GCAUGAGUUUGGAUUUAUGACAGGUCUGUCCCCUGAGCUGGUCAUAGUGUCCCAUGCUAGAGCAAUCCAUGGCCCUGAACCAUUGCCUGGCCUCCCUGUCAAUGGGCUUUGGCACUGAAGCAGGUUGUACAGUG
RNAcentral lists this small nucleolar RNA (134 nucleotides) under Dasypus novemcinctus (nine-banded armadillo). RNAcentral's name for it is "Small nucleolar RNA SNORA42/SNORA80 family (ENSDNOG00000026558.1)". It matches the Rfam family "Small nucleolar RNA SNORA42/SNORA80 family". From Rfam's summary of the family: The members of this family belong to the H/ACA class of snoRNAs that guide the sites of modification of uridines to pseudouridines. Human ACA42 (SNORA42) was cloned from HeLa cells by immunoprecipitation with anti-GAR1 antibody. Its is predicted to guide the pseudouridylation of residues U109 and U572 of 18S rRNA. The record is from RNAcentral. Lineage: Eukaryota; Metazoa; Chordata; Mammalia; Cingulata; Dasypodidae.